AUGCAGCUGGAAUUUCAGGUGUGUCACCCUGGAGCUGAGGCCUCCAGAUGGACUCGUAGAAGGGAGAUGUGUAAGGCUCCAUCCCUCAGCAGCCCACGAUCUCUGAAGGUUUGCCACUGUGGCCAAUGUUUUAUGGAAGCUUCUGAGGCCGUAGAGCAGAGGGAAGUUCUGAGCACACGGAGGACAAGCCAGGGUGGUGCUGUGUGGCCGCAAACAACCCUAAGUAGGGGAUACGUGUGGGGGACAGGCUCUAACACCUUGAUUCCUUAUGUCUGUGUCUCUGCAGUAUGUUUCAUGGAGAGUCUGAGUGACAGCAACCAUGAUGAAAGUGAUACAGACUCAGUGGUGGAGAGCCUGAGCAGCCGCCAGGAUGAGGAGGCUGCAGACUCCUCUGGGACACCUUGAAGCCUCAGCCUGGGACUGGAAGAGUCCAAAAGUUUCCAUCUUGACCAGGAUACAAGAUUGACCUCACUCUUCAUCUAUUACGAGCCAACUUUAGUAUAAGCUUAGUUCUUUAUUGUCUAGAUUUAGUAUUAAGUUCUGAUACAUGUUUACUACUUGGUAUAUAAGAUUUUGGUAGAAUGUAAGAUUGUGUAUUAAAUAAUUGUUACCUAUCCAUUUGCUUUUUUUAAAACUAGUUUUCGAUAAAAUAAACACAGGUAUAGGAAAGCCCCCUUAAGCA
RNAcentral lists this long non-coding RNA (682 nucleotides) under Sus scrofa (pig). Its description in RNAcentral is "lncRNA (ENSSSCG00070004660.1)". The record is from RNAcentral. Lineage: Eukaryota; Metazoa; Chordata; Mammalia; Artiodactyla; Suidae.